CAAACCCCAAGAGGAGACAGCCCAAAGAAAAAAGAAAGAAAGGAAAAAAACCCCAAACACACUCUCAUGACGAUCCUCAUCCACCUCU
Molecule: non-coding RNA, 88 nt
Filed under: Gloeochaete wittrockiana
Lineage: Eukaryota; Glaucocystophyceae; Gloeochaetales; Gloeochaetaceae
Source: RNAcentral